AUGGAGGAACACAAGAAUUUUCUACAGUCCAAACACUCGGAGAAGUCUGACGACUGGAUUACACGCGAACAAACGAGGACUUUCGCCGGUUGGUUGCAGAAACGUGCCCUGAAUGAUGGCGACAUUCAAAAUGACAUGUACUCGUUGUCCCAGUUACCAUCUUCGAAUAUAAUGACUUUCAAAGGGUACCAGAUAAAUGGGAAUACAUUUUACACGAUCGCCCAAGAUAUGAAGAGCACCAACCAAAACAGUGGUGUCCGCUUUGAUGCAACAACCAACACGGGAAAGGAAACAUAUUAUGGUUACAUAGAGGACAUAUGGGAACUUAACUAUGGAUCAGGUUAUUUGAAGGUCCCUUUGUUUCGGUGCAAAUGGGUCAAUACGACAUGA
RNAcentral lists this ribosomal RNA (390 nucleotides) under Triticum aestivum (bread wheat). RNAcentral describes it as "partial small subunit ribosomal RNA". The record is from RNAcentral. Lineage: Eukaryota; Viridiplantae; Streptophyta; Magnoliopsida; Poales; Poaceae.